This is a long non-coding RNA of Archocentrus centrarchus (flier cichlid), 957 nucleotides long. RefSeq lists it as uncharacterized. NCBI's taxonomy places the organism in Eukaryota, Metazoa, Chordata, Actinopteri, Cichliformes, Cichlidae. The record is from RefSeq and is a predicted model, not a curated record. The transcript is spliced from 4 exons.
AAUGGGGGACCAUUAACUGACGGACCAGACAGCUGCUUUACUAUCUGGCGCCAGUAUGUGAUUCAUACUCGACUUGCAGUCUAUUCAACAUGAACACCGCUGAAAAAUUAUUAAACAUAACACAAAGGGGAAAUAAGAAGAAGCUUGUACUUAUAAAAUGGCUUCAAAAACUGAAAUUACUCUCAAAAAAGAAGAGAUGCUCUCUGUGUGAAAGAAAAAUGAAAAUGAGAAAAGGUGGCAACACAAGAGAUGGAUAUCGCUGGGUGUGUCGAAGACAUAAUAGAUUCAUGUCCAAAUCCAUAAGAGAUGGGUCUAUUUUCUCAGGCUCUCGCUCCUCCUUGACUUCUUGGAUGAUGUUCAUGCAUAGGUUUGCACAAGGGCUAAGACUGAGGCAAGUGGACUUAAUUGAAGAGGGAGUCUGUGGAAGCAGCCGCACUUUGUCCAAGAUGUCCAAGACACUAAGGAGGGUGUGUGUGCAAGCAGUUAAGCACCUGAAGAGGAUGGGGAAAAUGAGAAUAGGUGGAAGACAUGGUUUUGUUGUCAUUGAUGAGAGCAAGUUUUGUCACAAGAGAAAGUAUGCACGCGGGCGAUUUGGUGCUACUUGGCGCAGGAGAGGCUGGGUUUUUGGAUUGUUGGAAGUCAAUCAACGGAGAAGGAGGCCUGUGUUGAAAUUUGUUCGCAGACGAAAUUCUGAAAGACUACUUCCUAUUAUACAGCGAUAUGUUAGACCUGCAAGUACAAUUUUGAGUGACUCUUGGCGUUCCUACUGCAGACUGAGGCAACAUGGGUAUAUACACUACCAAGUCAAUCACCAGAGGUUUUUUGUUCACCCUGCUACAGGAGCACAUACCCAGCAUAUAGAAAGGUCCUGGAGAACCUUUAAGCAAGAGGUGUACCGUUUCAGAGGCAACAUGACUGAGAAGUCACUGAGAGAGAUCCUACAUUUUAUUGAGUGGA